GUUAUCGUUUAUUUGAUAAUACCUUACUACUUGGAUAACCGUGGUAAUUCUAGAGCUAAUACAUGCCGAAAAUCCCGACUUCGGAAGGGAUGUGUUUAUUAGAUAAAAAACCUAUGCCCUUCGGGGCUUUUUGGUGAUUCAUGAUAACUUUACGGAUCGCAUAGCCUUGCGCUGGCGACGGUUCAUUCAAAUUUCUGCCCUAUCAACUUUCGAUGGUAAGGUAUUGGCUUACCAUGGUUUCAACGGGUAACGGGGAAUUAGGGUUCGAUUCCGGAGAGGGAGCCUGAGAAACGGCUACCACAUCCAAGGAAGGCAGCAGGCGCGCAAAUUACCCAAUCCCGACACGGGGAGGUAGUGACAAUAAAUACUGAUACAGGGCUCUUUUGGGUCUUGUAAUUGGAAUGAGUACAAUUUAAACCUCUUAACGAGGAACAAUUGGAGGGCAAGUCUGGUGCCAGCAGCCGCGGUAAUUCCAGCUCCAAUAGCGUAUAUUAAAGUUGUUGCAGUUAAAAAGCUCGUAGUUGAAACUUGG
Molecule: ribosomal RNA, 532 nt
Filed under: uncultured fungus
Lineage: Eukaryota; Fungi
Description: SSU rRNA
Rfam family: Eukaryotic small subunit ribosomal RNA
Source: RNAcentral